CGCUGACGGAGGUGCUUCAGAACCAGCCGGUCUUGCUUGCCCAGCCGAGUCAGUUCGGCAGCUUGGCUGCCCCCGCCGGUCCCUCUCUGGGCCAGCCCGAGAAGAGCCCCCCGGCCAAGGACCUGGGCACCAGUGGGACGCCUCUGCUGGAGAGGAACAGGAGCUACAGCCUGUCGGGGGGAAACCCGCCUGGGGGCUUAGUCCACUCAAACCCCUCUUUCUUCCACUGCCCGCUUAGCUCAGCCGAAACUGCCGCCCCCAAGUCCCUGGCUCAGCCUGGCUCUCAAGGGCCCCUCAACUUGGCUAUGGAAGCCCCCCAGCCCCCUGCUGCAGAAGGGCUGCCUGUGGAAAGUGCUGGCCAGCCCACAGGUGGCGUUUCCCUCUCCCACGCUAGCCAUAACCUUCCUGGCUGGUCCCAGAACGCUUCCCACGGCCAGGAGCUUUCCAAACCCCUGGAUUUGGCCGGAGCGAAGUCCCAGGAGCUCAGCAGGGCAGGGCUUGGCCAGCUCCUUUCGGGCAGCCAGGCGUUUCCUCCAGCCCCCGGCCCGGCUGGCCCCGGCAACAACCAGCCACGAGGCCCGCAGCAGUUCUAUCGGCAGGUGACCAAGGACUUGGGGCCUGCCAUGCCCUCCGAUCGAGGGGCGCCCUCGGAGCAAGGCCAUGCAGCUUCUCGGCAUUCUUCCGUUUCCCCCAACCUCCAGAUGCCUCCUGGAAACCCGCACGACCCAGCGCCGAGUCCGAAGCCUUGCCCCGGCGGCCCCUUGGAAGGCAGUUCAGCCCCGCCACCGCCCAGCCAUCCUCAGACAGGCACCGACUUCAGGCAGGAUCCCCGCAUCCCCCCUGGCAUGGGGCCUCCUCCUCCUCCUGGAUCCACAGCCCCAAGCGGCCCCCAACCUGCUCGCCCCCCUUCGCACCACGAGCAGCAAUACCCUCCUUCGCAGAACCCCCAGAAUGCUUACGGCCCACCCGCCAGCUCCUACUACUACUACCGGCACCCCUACGACAGCUACAGCUACCCACCGGUGGAUCCUAGAGUGGCUCAGCUUUACUACCAGGUAGAGUGAAACGUGCUCUGUUUAGCCACCCUCAGGAGGAUUCUGGGGGCUGGGGCUGGGGG
RNAcentral lists this long non-coding RNA (1117 nucleotides) under Notechis scutatus (mainland tiger snake). Its description in RNAcentral is "lncRNA (ENSNSUG00000000815.1)". The record is from RNAcentral. Lineage: Eukaryota; Metazoa; Chordata; Lepidosauria; Squamata; Elapidae.